This 467-nucleotide ribosomal RNA is filed under the name uncultured bacterium. RNAcentral's name for it is "partial 16S ribosomal RNA". It matches the Rfam family "Bacterial small subunit ribosomal RNA", at positions 28 to 506 of the family's 1533-position model. The record is from RNAcentral.
GACGAACGCUGGCGGCGUGCUUAACACAUGCAAGUCGAACGGAAAGGCCCUGCUUUUGUGGGGUGCUCGAGUGGCGAACGGGUGAGUAACACGUGAGUAACCUGCCCUUGACUUUGGGAUAACUUCAGGAAACUGGGGCUAAUACCGGAUAGGAGCUCCUGCUGCAUGGUGGGGGUUGGAAAGUUUCGGCGGUUGGGGAUGGACUCGCGGCUUAUCAGCUUGUUGGUGGGGUAGUGGCUUACCAAGGCUUUGACGGGUAGCCGGCCUGGGAGGGUGACCGGCCACAUUGGGACUGGGAUAGGGCCCGGACUCAUACGGGAGGCAGCGGUGGGGAAUAUUGCACAACGGGCGGAAGCGUGAUGCAGCAACGCCGCGUGCGGGAUGACGGCCUUCGGGUAGUAAACGGCUUUCGCCUGUGACGAAGCGUGAGUGACGGAAAUGGGUAAAGAAGCACCGGCUAACUACGU